GACGAACGCUGGCGGCGUGCCUAAUACAUGCAAGUCGAACGAACUCUGGUAUUGAUUGGUGCUUGCAUCAUGAUUUACAUUUGAGUGAGUGGCGAACUGGUGAGUAACACGUGGGAAACCUGCCCAGAAGCGGGGGAUAACACCUGGAAACAGAUGCUAAUACCGCAUAACAACUUGGACCGCAUGGUCCGAGCUUGAAAGAUGGCUUCGGCUAUCACUUUUGGAUGGUCCCGCGGCGUAUUAGCUAGAUGGUGGGGUAACGGCUCACCAUGGCAAUGAUACGUAGCCGACCUGAGAGGGUAAUCGGCCACAUUGGGACUGAGACACGGCCCAAACUCCUACGGGAGGCAGCAGUAGGGAAUCUUCCACAAUGGACGAAAGUCUGAUGGAGCAACGCCGCGUGAGUGAAGAAGGGUUUCGGCUCGUAAAACUCUGUUGUUAAAGAAGAACAUAUCUGAGAGUAACUGUUCAGGUAUUGACGGUAUUUAACCAGAAAGCCACGGCUAACUACGUGCCAGCAGCCGCGGUAAUACGUAGGUGGCAAGCGUUGUCCGGAUUUAUUGGGCGUAAAGCGAGCGCAGGCGGUUUUUUAAGUCUGAUGUGAAAGCCUCCGGCUCAACCGAAGAAGUGCAUCGGAAACUGGGAAACUUGAGUGCAGAAGAGGACAGUGGAACUCCAUGUGUAGCGGUGAAAUGCGUAGAUAUAUGGAAGAACACCAGUGGCGAAGGCGGCUGUCUGGUCUGUAACUGACGCUGAGGCUCGAAAGUAUGGGUAGCAAACAGGAUUAGAUACCCUGGUAGUCCAUACCGUAAACGAUGAAUGCUAAGUGUUGGAGGGUUUCCGCCCUUCAGUGCUGCAGCUAACGCAUUAAGCAUUCCGCCUGGGGAGUACGGCCGCAAGGCUGAAACUCAAAGGAAUUGACGGGGGCCCGCACAAGCGGUGGAGCAUGUGGUUUAAUUCGAAGCUACGCGAAGAACCUUACCAGGUCUUGACAUACUAUGCAAAUCUAAGAGAUUAGACGUUCCCUUCGGGGACAUGGAUACAGGUGGUGCAUGGUUGUCGUCAGCUCGUGUCGUGAGAUGUUGGGUUAAGUCCCGCAACGAGCGCAACCCUUAUUAUCAGUUGCCAGCAUUAAGUUGGGCACUCUGGUGAGACUGCCGGUGACAAACCGGAGGAAGGUGGGGAUGACGUCAAAUCAUCAUGCCCCUUAUGACCUGGGCUACACACGUGCUACAAUGGAUGGUACAACGAGUUGCGAACUCGCGAGAGUAAGCUAAUCUCUUAAAGCCAUUCUCAGUUCGGAUUGUAGGCUGCAACUCGCCUACAUGAAGUCGGAAUCGCUAGUAAUCGCGGAUCAGCAUGCCGCGGUGAAUACGUUCCCGGGCCUUGUACACACCGCCCGUCACACCAUGAGAGUUUGUAACACCCAAAGUCGGUGGGGUAACCUUUUAGGAACCAGCCGCCUAAGGUGGGACAGAUGAUUAGGGUG
RNAcentral lists this ribosomal RNA (1489 nucleotides) under Lactiplantibacillus plantarum. Its description in RNAcentral is "bacterial SSU rRNA". It matches the Rfam family "Bacterial small subunit ribosomal RNA". Lineage: Bacteria; Bacillati; Bacillota; Bacilli; Lactobacillales; Lactobacillaceae. The record is from RNAcentral.